Molecule: microRNA precursor, 99 nt
Filed under: Mustela putorius furo (domestic ferret)
Lineage: Eukaryota; Metazoa; Chordata; Mammalia; Carnivora; Mustelidae
Description: miRNA (ENSMPUG00000021630.1)
Source: RNAcentral
CUCUUUCUACAUAUAUGUGUGUAUGUGCAUGUGUGUUUGUAUGCAUACAGGAGGCUACGAGCAUAUGGAGAAAAGCAAGAACAAAAUUAACAAUCAAAA